GCAAAAUGUAGGCUCCUUCCCUUGUGCUGCCAUACUUUCAAUAACCAUUUGAACAUCCUCACUAGAAUAGCCAUACGCCUGCUGGCGUCUUAGAAUUGUUUCACCAUCCAUUACUGUUGUUGAAAAAAAGUUCAUAGGCUUCAAAGAUCGCAAAUUUUCUUUAAUCCACUCCCCAUAUGGAUUGGACAAUGCAACUCGCCUUUUGACCUCUGUAUUCUCGAAUACCUGACCACUUGAAAGAUCAACGCUUAUCAUCAUACCAGGACCUAAACGCCCUUUCAUUGUUACAUUUGAUUCAUCCAUGGGUAUCACACCAACCUCAGAUGCAACAUAGACAACGUUGUCUUUGGUUCGCCAAUAUCUAGCAGGACGAAG
This 375-nucleotide unclassified non-coding RNA is filed under the name Hevea brasiliensis (rubber tree). The record is from RNAcentral. Lineage: Eukaryota; Viridiplantae; Streptophyta; Magnoliopsida; Malpighiales; Euphorbiaceae.